RNAcentral lists this ribosomal RNA (620 nucleotides) under Neodythemis africana. Its description in RNAcentral is "partial 12S ribosomal RNA". The record is from RNAcentral. Lineage: Eukaryota; Metazoa; Arthropoda; Insecta; Odonata; Libellulidae.
GAGGAAGUAAAUAUUGUUAGGUUACAGUUAAAAAUUUUAAAUAAUUAAGGAUAAUAUUAUUAGGUGAAAUUUUAAUUUUAUUUUAAUGGAGUUAUUUGAAGCUGUGAAAUUUAUUUUAAAAACAAGGAUUAGAUACCCUUUUAUAUUAAAUGUGAAUAAUAACCUGGGUAGUAAUAGUUAUGUUCUUGAAACCCAAAGAAUUUGGCGGUAUUUUAUUCUUUUUAGAGGAACCUGUCCUGUAAUUGAUAGUCCACGAUAGAUAUAUACUUAUUUUUGUAUUCAUUUUGUAUACCUCCGUCAUCAGAGUAUUUUUUUAGAAUUAAUAUUCAAGAAAUUAUAAAAGUAGAAUGUCAGGUCAAGGUGCAAUUUAUAGAUAAGUAGAGAUGGGUUACAAUAAAUUUAUUUAUACGAAUUAAUAUAUUUAUUAAAUAUUAUGAAGGUGGAUUUAAAAGUAAAAUGUGGUCUUUACUAAUUUGAUUUUAGCUCUAAAAUAUGCACACAUCGCCCGUCGCUCUUAUUUUAAAAUAAGAUAAGUCGUAACAUAGUAGGUGUACUGGAAAGUGUACCUAGUAAGGUAAAACGAAUUAGAACUUGAUAGAAAGUAUUUCAUUUACACUGAA